Molecule: microRNA precursor, 104 nt
Filed under: Marmota monax (woodchuck)
Lineage: Eukaryota; Metazoa; Chordata; Mammalia; Rodentia; Sciuridae
Source: RNAcentral
AUACCAAUCACUGGAGAUCUCUUCAAAAUGUGGUUUCUGAUUCACUAGAUUUAGGAUGACACCUGCAAUUCUGCAUUUCUAACAAGCUCUCAGAUGAUGCUGAU